GCUGGCACGGGUAUGGACUUUGCGCGGCCUGCCCCUGAGGGGAAACCUGGCGGAGCAGACCCCGGGGUAGGCCGCACUACUGCGCAGAGGCCGCUGUUGGGUAAUCGGGGCCGGGUGUUUAUUUAUGCUCAGCAGCGGUGCGUCCUGCAUGGGAAGGCUGUGGAAGGGACAGAGGGAGGGCGGGGAAGGACCGAGAGGCAGCAGCUGAGGCUCAGGGCAUUCAUUUCAAUCGAGAAUGUUUCCUUCCUGUGCCUUAUCUUGUUUCCUGCCUGCUUAAAGAAUGCCACCCUUUAAUGCUGUUUGAGAGCAGGCGCUGCUUCAGGGGCGGCCAGUCCUUUAAAGCUAACACUGCUGGAGUGGCAGAAGUAGUGGAUGCUUGCAGUCUAUCGGGAACUCUGAAAAGCUGAGGAACAAAUAAAAAGAUGUUUCUGAUAGCGCAGUGUGUGCUGUGGCAUUUUCUUGUAAACAUUCACUACUGUGGCUUGAGCUCACCAUAUCCUGAUCUGCCUCUGCUUGCCUGGAAUGCACCACUCCCUUUAAGCCUUUCCUGGAGUGAGCCAUUGUCUCUUUACCCUGGAAUUCAAGAGAAGAGGCUUAAAUUGCUACUGUCUGGUAGCUGUACAAAAAAAAAAAUCCCGUGCCUGAAGACAGGAGAGGGAAGGCUGUGGAGAUUGAAGGUGGCUGAAAUUAGUAUGGAAUGUGGAUGUGAAAUGUCUGAAAUCAGUAGAGAAUGCAGCCGCAAAAUAAACACUGUGGGCAUGUGUAGGACCCAGGACAAAUGGACUGAGGAGUGUGUGGGAAGUAGUAGGUUUGGCUGCACCAAUAAAGGUGUAGAGGAGAUGGACUUAUGAGUAUUGGACGCCUGAAAUAAGCUGGGAGGGUAGAACCAGAACCUAUGAAUUGUGGGGUUCUUAAUUCAUAGCUGUCAUAAUACAAUAAAGACAUUUCUAGUUUCCAUGA
This is a long non-coding RNA of Neopsephotus bourkii (Bourke's parrot), 960 nucleotides long. RefSeq lists it as uncharacterized. The transcript has 2 exons. The record is from RefSeq and is a predicted model, not a curated record. NCBI's taxonomy places the organism in Eukaryota, Metazoa, Chordata, Aves, Psittaciformes, Psittacidae.